This 950-nucleotide non-coding RNA is filed under the name Acanthodactylus erythrurus lineomaculatus. Its description in RNAcentral is "partial small subunit ribosomal RNA". It matches the Rfam family "Bacterial small subunit ribosomal RNA". The record is from RNAcentral. Lineage: Eukaryota; Metazoa; Chordata; Lepidosauria; Squamata; Lacertidae.
AAAGCUUUGGUCCUAAGCUUACCAUUGGUUUUUUUCAAGAUUAUACAUGCAAGUUUCAACGUACCAGUGAGAAUGCCCACAAACCCCAAAAAGAAGUAUUGGAGCGGACAUCAGGCACAACUAUUAGCCCAUGACGUCUUGUCUUUACCACACCCUCACGGGCUUCCAGCAGUAAUAAACAUUGGACAAUAAACGAAAGCUUGAUCCAACUAUGAAAAUAAGAGUUGGUUAAUUUCGUGCCAGCCACCGCGGUUACACGAAAAACCCAAAUCAAUGGCUUAACGGCGUAAAUUGUGACUAGAGAUCUCUUAUGCAAUAAUAUUAAAACUUUUAACUAGUUGUAAAAUACUUAAACCAAAAGGAAACCCACACAAAUAUUUUAGCAUUAAACCCUUGAUCACACGAAAGCUUAGAAACAAACUAGGAUUAGAUACCCUACUAUGCUAAGCCAUAAACAUUGAUGGCACCCUCACCAAGCCUUCCGCCAGAAUACUACAAGUGAAAAACUUAAAACUCAAAGGACUUGGCGGUGUCCCACCUCGACCUAGAGGAGCCUGUCCUGUAAUCGAUACUCCCCGCUCCACCCAACCUCUACUAGCAUUAUUCAGCCUAUAUACCGCCGUCGACAGUCUACCCCAUGAGGGUCUAAUAGUAGACAAAAUAGCAACCCAUGUCGCUAAUACGUCAGGUCAAGGUGUAGCAAAUGUUGAGGAAGUGAUUGGCUACAUUUUUUAUUUUAAAAUAUACGAAAUACAACAUGAAAUCAUGUACAAAGGUGAAUUUAGCAGUAAAAUAGGCAAGAAUGCCUACUUUAAUAUCGCUCUGGGACGCGCACACACCGCCCGUCACCCUCCUCACUAAUUCUCCUUAUAUAUAUAAAACCACGUAUAAUAAUUAGAGGAGGUAAGUCGUAACAUGGUAAGCGUACUGGAAAGUGCGCUUGGACUUUC